CUAGACUUAAAUGCAUUUUAAAGAAACUAUCUAACUCAACUACAUGUCCGUUUGCGAUAAGAUACACUUACCAAUGAAAAGCCAAGAAAAGCAACACGUGUCGCAAAGAACGUUUGCUAUAUUGAGAGAAGACAGAGAAGAAAAGACAGCAAGCAGAGUUAAGCACCAAUUGCCAAAUAUAUCAUUGGGACUUCAUACAAAAGACUACGAAAAUGGAUUGCAAUGGAUCAGGAGAUACAAACAUUCAAAAUGAAAAAAUCCGCACUGAAAAAACCAAGCCAUCUAUUGAAAAAGAAGCAGAAACAAAACAAAACUGGGAAGGAAAAAGUUCACAAUUCGCAACAAAACGACGCGUGGCUAUUUGCGAUGCAACUGAUGAAGCAAAAGAAAGCCGUUGUCACAUGCGAGUUAUUAUGAAAAAGUUUUAACCUAACUAACGUCAUACCGUCCAUAAAGAAGUCAUAGUGAUAUUAAUAAUUCAAAUAUACAAACGUCAAACGAAAAACGUUUUAGUUGGAAAAAUGAAUGAAAUCAUUAAAUCUAUCUAAACUUUAAGUUUAAAUUAAAUAAUAAAUCCUACUUCAAUAA
This is a long non-coding RNA of Xenia sp. Carnegie-2017, 588 nucleotides long. RefSeq lists it as uncharacterized. The record is from RefSeq and is a predicted model, not a curated record. The transcript is spliced from 2 exons. Lineage: Eukaryota; Metazoa; Cnidaria; Anthozoa; Malacalcyonacea; Xeniidae.